This 279-nucleotide ribosomal RNA is filed under the name uncultured bacterium. RNAcentral describes it as "partial 16S ribosomal RNA". It matches the Rfam family "Bacterial small subunit ribosomal RNA", at positions 506 to 784 of the family's 1533-position model. The record is from RNAcentral.
UGCCAGCAGCCGCGGUAAUACGGAGGGCGCAAGCGUUACUCGGAAUCAUUGGGCGUAAAGCGGGUGUAGGCGGGUUAAUAGGUUUGAAGUGAAAUCCAAUGGCUCAACCAUUGAACUGCUUUGAAAACUGUUAACCUAGAAUAUGGGAGAGGUAGAUGGAUUUCCUGGUGUAGGGGUAAAAUCCGUAGAGAUCAGAAGGAAUACCGAUUGCGAAGGCGAUCUACUGGAACAUUAUUGACGCUGAGACGCGAAAGCGUGGGGAGCAAACAGGAUUAGAUA